Molecule: RNase P RNA, 392 nt
Filed under: Dactylosporangium vinaceum subsp. matsuzakiense
Lineage: Bacteria; Bacillati; Actinomycetota; Actinomycetes; Micromonosporales; Micromonosporaceae
Description: Dactylosporangium matsuzakiense Bacterial RNase P class A
Rfam family: Bacterial RNase P class A
About the family: Ribonuclease P (RNase P) is a ubiquitous endoribonuclease, found in archaea, bacteria and eukarya as well as chloroplasts and mitochondria. Its best characterised activity is the generation of mature 5'-ends of tRNAs by cleaving the 5'-leader elements of precursor-tRNAs. Cellular RNase Ps are ribonucleoproteins.
Source: Rfam by way of RNAcentral
CGAGUCGACCGGGCGGCCGCGUCGGUGCUGCAAGGCACCGCCGAGGAACGUCCGGGCUCCACAGGGCAGGGUGGUUGUUAACGGCAACCCGGGGUGACCCGCGGGACAGUGCCACAGAGAACAGACCGCCAGGCUUCGCACCUGGUAAGGGUGAAACGGUGGGGUAAGAGCCCACCAGCGUCCCGGGUGACCGGGGCGGCUAGGUAAACCCCACCCGGAGCAAGGUCAAAAGGGCCGGCGCCCACGGGCCCGGCCUGCGCAGGCGUUCGAGGGCAGCCCGCCCGAGCCUGCGGGUGGACCGCUGGAGCCUGUCGGCAACGGCAGGCCGAGAUGGAUGGCCGCCCCUCGCCGCAAGGCGAGGACAGAACCCGGCGUACAGGUCGACUCGUCCG